CUCCCACCCAGAUUCGUCCUAGGGAGCACAACCUCAGCGGCAAUCUGCCCAGGCCAGGAGCCGAGGCUGAGACCCGGGCCGGACGUCGCCCAGGCGCCCCGAAGGCCGCACUCACCAUGGCUCCGGCUCGGCUCCCCCGCCUCCCCCGGGAGCACGUAUCAUCCCAGCCCAGAGGUCGCGGCCACUACCGACGCGCCUUUAUCACAGAGCGACGCAUUCGCGGGUAGCAGGCACGAGCCUCCCAAGUACGGACGCCUCCGAAACACGACAGUAGAAGCCGCAAACUAGGCCGGAAAAUGUCGUAAAAGGGAAAAAGCGCAGAAGGAGGAAAGUCGCUCAAGCAGGGGGCGGGCGGAGAACGCUACUUGGGCUUGGUUGAGGGUGGGCGGAUCGCCUCCCACCCGGGCUUAAGGGUGGGGCUUCUCUUUGUUUUCUGCCCUUUGCCCCUGCGGCACCGAGACACGAUCUUGCUAUGUUGCUGGGGCUGGUCUUGACUUCUGACCUUCCACAGUGCUGGGAUUACAGGUGUGAGCCACCACGCCCGACCAAAAGAACUUUUAAAGCUUCCUUCUUUUCUGCAAUAAUAGCUGUUGUGUGGAAUUGCUUCCUGUCUGUGGUCACUCCAUUGCAUUGGCCCUGCUUAUGGAUUUUCCAAGCAGGGAGCCAAAGAACCAGGACAACAGUCUACCAAGAGGCCAGACCUGAUAUUUGGUGCGAAAACCUUGGAUCCUCUCUCUUUUGAAGGAGUCCAACUGAAGGGAAUGGAGAGCUGGGUGUACAUCUUGAGAACUAAACCAGUGGACACUCUGAGCCCAGACACUAGCAAGGAUGCUGAUACCACAGAUACCUGUGAGUGUGAACCACCUGAGGGAUUAAAGGUUCUCUUCAAAAAGCUGAAAUGAUUAAACCUCACAGGCUAUGCCAUCACAGAUAAUAAAGAAUCCCUGCAUAUAUUUCCUGAUCUACCUUAUGUUAGCCUUUGAUGGAAUCCUCUGCAUAGUAAAUAUAUUGUAGCAUGAAGGAA
Lemur catta (Ring-tailed lemur) is the source of this 1024-nucleotide long non-coding RNA. RefSeq lists it as uncharacterized. The record is from RefSeq and is a predicted model, not a curated record. Lineage: Eukaryota; Metazoa; Chordata; Mammalia; Primates; Lemuridae. The transcript is spliced from 4 exons.